Molecule: non-coding RNA, 64 nt
Organism: Loxodonta africana (African savanna elephant)
Lineage: Eukaryota; Metazoa; Chordata; Mammalia; Proboscidea; Elephantidae
Source: Ensembl
GGUAAAAUGGCUGAGUAGGCAUUAGACUGUAAAUCUAACCACAGAGAGUAAUCUCUUUUUGCCA